Molecule: small nucleolar RNA, 124 nt
Filed under: Naja naja (Indian cobra)
Lineage: Eukaryota; Metazoa; Chordata; Lepidosauria; Squamata; Elapidae
Description: Small nucleolar RNA SNORD10 (ENSNNAG00000018062.1)
Rfam family: Small nucleolar RNA SNORD10
Source: Rfam by way of RNAcentral
GUUCCAUGAUGAUUCCCCAUGCGUGUCAUCUGACCCCCCCAUUCCCCCCCUCCAGCCCGCGUUCUGCUGGGCAGGGGAAGAAUCCUCCCCUGGGGGUAAGGGAAAGUGAUCAUACCUGGAUAAC